UGGGGAAUAUUGCACAAUGGGCGCAAGCCUGAUGCAGCCAUGCCGCGUGUGUGAAGAAGGCCUUCGGGUUGUAAAGCACUUUCAGCGGGGAGGAAGGCGUUAAGGUUAAUAACCUUGGCGAUUGACGUUACCCGCAGAAGAAGCACCGGCUAACUCCGUGCCAGCAGCCGCGGUAAUACGGAGGGUGCAAGCGUUAAUCGGAAUUACUGGGCGUAAAGCGCACGCAGGCGGUCUGUCAAGUCGGAUGUGAAAUCCCCGGGCUCAACCUGGGAACUGCAUUCGAAACUGGCAGGCUAGAGUCUUGUAGAGGGGGGUAGAAUUCCAGGUGUAGCGGUGAAAUGCGUAGAGAUCUGGAAGAAUACCGGUGGCGAAGGCGGCCCCCUGGACAAAGACUGACGCUCAGGUGCGAAAGCGUGGGGAGCAAACAGG
RNAcentral lists this ribosomal RNA (429 nucleotides) under Chloroflexota bacterium. RNAcentral's name for it is "Chloroflexi bacterium partial 16S ribosomal RNA". It matches the Rfam family "Bacterial small subunit ribosomal RNA", at positions 355 to 776 of the family's 1533-position model. The record is from RNAcentral. Lineage: Bacteria; Bacillati; Chloroflexota.